AAUGGGUCAGCGACUUAUAUUCUGUAGCAAGGUUAACCGAAUAGGGGAGCCGAAGGGAAACCGAGUCUUAACUGGGCGUUAAGUUGCAGGGUAUAGACCCGAAACCCGGUGAUCUAGCCAUGGGCAGGUUGAAGGUUGGGUAACACUAACUGGAGGACCGAACCGACUAAUGUUGAAAAAUUAGCGGAUGACUUGUGGCUGGGGGUGAAAGGCCAAUCAAACCGGGAGAUAGCUGGUUCUCCCCGAAAGCUAUUUAGGUAGCGCCUCGUGAAUUCAUCUCCGGGGGUAGAGCACUGUUUCGGCAAGGGGGUCAUCCCGACUUACCAACCCGAUGCAAACUGCGAAUACCGGAGAAUGUUAUCACGGGAGACACACGGCGGGUGCUAACGUCCGUCGUGAAGAGGGAAACAACCCAGACCGCCAGCUAAGGUCCCAAAGUCAUGGUUAAGUGGGAAACGAUGUGGGAAGGCCCAGACAGCCAGGAUGUUGGCUUAGAAGCAGCCAUCAUUUAAAGAAAGCGUAAUAGCUCACUGGUCGAGUCGGCCUGCGCGGAAGAUGUAACGGGGCUAAACCAUGCACCGAAGCUGCGGCAGCGACGCUUAUGCGUUGUUGGGUAGGGGAGCGUUCUGUAAGCCUGUGAAGGUGUGCUGUGAGGCAUGCUGGAGGUAUCAGAAGUGCGAAUGCUGACAUAAGUAACGAUAAAGCGGGUGAAAAGCCCGCUCGCCGGAAGACCAAGGGUUCCUGUCCAACGUUAAUCGGGGCAGGGUGAGUCGACCCCUAAGGCGAGGCCGAAAGGCGUAGUCGAUGGGAAACAGGUUAAUAUUCCUGUACUUGGUGUUACUGCGAAGGGGGGACGGAGAAGGCUAUGUUGGCCGGGCGACGGUUGUCCCGGUUUAAGCGUGUAGGCUGGUUUUCCAGGCAAAUCCGGAAAAUCAAGGCUGAGGCGUGAUGACGAGGCACUACGGUGCUGAAGCAACAAAUGCCCUGCUUCCAGGAAAAGCCUCUAAGCAUCAGGUAACAUCAAAUCGUACCCCAAACCGACACAGGUGGUCAGGUAGAGAAUACCAAGGCGCUUGAGAGAACUCGGGUGAAGGAACUAGGCAAAAUGGUGCCGUAACUUCGGGAGAAGGCACGCUGAUAUGUAGGUGAAGUCCCUUGCGGAUGGAGCUGAAAUCAGUCGAAGAUACCAGCUGGCUGCAACUGUUUAUUAAAAACACAGCACUGUGCAAACACGAAAGUGGACGUAUACGGUGUGACGCCUGCCCGGUGCCGGAAGGUUAAUUGAUGGGGUCAGCGCAAGCGAAGCUCUUGAUCGAAGCCCCGGUAAACGGCGGCCGUAACUAUAACGGUCCUAAGGUAGCGAAAUUCCUUGUCGGGUAAGUUCCGACCUGCACGAAUGGCGUAAUGAUGGCCAGGCUGUCUCCACCCGAGACUCAGUGAAAUUGAACUCGCUGUGAAGAUGCAGUGUACCCGCGGCAAGACGGAAAGACCCCGUGAACCUUUACUAUAGCUUGACACUGAACAUUGAGCCUUGAUGUGUAGGAUAGGUGGGAGGCUUUGAAGUGUGGACGCCAGUCUGCAUGGAGCCGACCUUGAAAUACCACCCUUUAAUGUUU
This 1616-nucleotide ribosomal RNA is filed under the name Escherichia coli. RNAcentral's name for it is "partial 23S ribosomal RNA". It matches the Rfam family "Bacterial large subunit ribosomal RNA", at positions 614 to 2215 of the family's 2925-position model. The record is from RNAcentral. Lineage: Bacteria; Pseudomonadati; Pseudomonadota; Gammaproteobacteria; Enterobacterales; Enterobacteriaceae.